CAAAAGCGUAUAUUAAAGUUGUUGCAGUUAAAAAGCUCGUAGUUGAACCUUGGGCUUGGCUGGCCGGUCCAUCUUUUUUGAUGCGUACUGGACCCAGCCGAGCCUUUCCUUCUGGCUAGCCUUUUGGCGAACCAGGACUUUUACUUUGAAAAAAUUAGAGUGUUCAAAGCAGGCCUUUGCUCGAAUAUAUUAGCACGGAAUAAUAGAAUAGGACGUUAUGGUUCUAUUUUGUUGGUUUCUAGGACCAUCGUAAUGAUUAAUAGGGACGGUCGGGGGUAUCAGUAUUCAGUUGUCAGAGGUGAAAUUCUUGGAUUUACUGAAGACUAACUACUGCGAAAGCAUUUACCAAGGACGUUUUCAUUAA
Molecule: ribosomal RNA, 364 nt
Filed under: uncultured eukaryote
Lineage: Eukaryota
Description: partial 18S ribosomal RNA
Rfam family: Eukaryotic small subunit ribosomal RNA
Source: RNAcentral